This is a long non-coding RNA of Juglans microcarpa x Juglans regia, 1226 nucleotides long. RefSeq lists it as uncharacterized. The transcript is spliced from 2 exons. Lineage: Eukaryota; Viridiplantae; Streptophyta; Magnoliopsida; Fagales; Juglandaceae. The record is from RefSeq and is a predicted model, not a curated record.
CUCUAGGGCAAUUUUUGACCACGGAUAACCUUAGAAAACAUGGUUUGUAUAUUGCUGAUUGGUGUGUCAUGUGCAAGAAGGAUGAUGAAUCUGUAAAUCAUCUCUUUCUUCAUUGUGAGGUGGCAAAGUCUUUAUGGAAUGAGGUUUUGAGGGAAGGAAAUGUGUAGCUGCCAGAUGGAAUAUGAUUCCUUUGUGUUUAAUGUGGUGUCUUUGGCUGGAAAGGAAUGAGAGAUGUUUUGAAGAUACUGUUCCUUCAUUGCCAAGUCGUGUACCCUUCACUUGAGCACUGUUGGCCACUGCAGCCAAGUCAUUCCCUACCGACAACCUUAGAACCGAGGCAUAGGUGGCACCUUUGGAGGGUAGAAACCUCUUUGCCUCCAUGUCCCUAGCUGCCUCCCUUCCCUUUUGGAAGCCGACAACUUUUCCGAGGUGGUAAGCAAAUUCUUCCCAGCCAUUGCCCUUUGAACCUUCAGGGACAGUCACCGAGCCUCUCCUCUUAACAUUCACGAGCUUUGCCAAAUGUAAGAAACAAGCCCUAGAGUUAACGUGUCGUUGAAUAGUGAGGACUCCAUUCCCCAUCCUCGUUUGCGUGAAGAAGCUUUCACGUCGACGAGAGGCUAGCCCUUCCUCCACCAUCUGACCACCCAUGUAGCCGAUGCCCUACUUGAGACGAAAGAUGUAGACAUUCUUCUGCUUCUUUCAGUGAUGUGAACACUACUACCACCCACCAUCGAGAAUAUGAAAGAUUUUGCUUCCACCGUAAAACACCUUUCACCCUCCAUUUAGUGAAAGAAAAAAUGACUGGAAAAGGGAGACGAGAGAGAGAGAGAGGGGUUUCUGACAAGAAGCGUCGUGGACCAAGGGAGUCAACUCUGGUGAGAAGCGCUGGAGGUGAGGUGACGAAUAUGCAUGAGAACAAGAAAAUUGUAUGGAGAGAAAGUUGUAAGAAGGAGCAAUCACAACUAUAAUUUUAUUUUGUAUUUUAAUAUUUUGUAUUUGAAAAAUAUUAAAAUUAUUAAAAAAGGAAAGGGCCCACCCCAUUGUGGUUGCUACCUUGGGGUGGCUAGAACUCGAUCACCAAGUACUAGUCACCUGUGGUGGUAAGAUGCCCUGGGGUGGCUCUCUCUUUCAAAAUAGGUUCAUCAUAAAGUAUAAAAGUCUUUUUUAUCAUAAACUUUUAUUUACUAUUGUUUAAAAAAACUUAAUUUGUGUUUUUAUUUUGGGGG